AUAUACACAACCCCAUUCUACAUCCAUACAUACCUGCAGUACAGCAAGUGCUUAGACAAGCUGAAACUAACGAGAACCUCUUGAGCUAUAAUGACAGCCUCUCUGCUCUGCUGACCACUGAUUUUGCUCAGUGUGUUUUUGUGUGUACCUGUGAACUUCACUGCAGCUUCCAGCACACCUGUAGCUAGUAGCGAUGACAGUGCUGACACAGAAACGCUAUAAGCAAUCCCCUCUAUAAAAAACUCUGCAGGAACACUGUUCCCUCCCGACUUUUACUCCAAGCACAGCAUUGCUGUACCCUAAAUCACCAGAUAUGCAAAGAUAAAGAAGACUGAUGAAAAAAAACAUCAAAAGAAACAAACAAAGUUGUGAGAAAACACAUCGUUGGCUUUUGAUGACUGGAAAAACAUCUAACUUUUGAAGGGGUUGAAAAGUGAUGCACAGCUAGCCUUAAUACUCCACAAGCCUGCAGAGGAAUAGCCAUAGUGACGAUCAUUGGUGAUAUACAUCUACGUGGUGCCCAGAGAGCUGACCUUGGGAAGCAACCUCAGUGUGCGGGACGUCUGUAUCUGAUGGUUUGGCUAGGUAAACUGCAGUGGAAAGGGCUUCUCCUCUUUCUUUUCCGGAUGGGAGCACCAGAUGUCCUCAUCAUCCACUGUCCACUGCAUCAGCUUCCUCCAGCACCCUGGCAAGAAGAUGAUGUUUUCAUCUGUGACCCAAAGCUGGAAGGCUGGUGCCAAUCUGGUUAAACUUGAUAAGGCGAGAACAUUUGUCAGCA
Molecule: long non-coding RNA, 778 nt
Organism: Micropterus dolomieu (smallmouth bass)
Lineage: Eukaryota; Metazoa; Chordata; Actinopteri; Centrarchiformes; Centrarchidae
Exons: 3
Source: RefSeq, a predicted model, not a curated record